Molecule: ribosomal RNA, 497 nt
Filed under: uncultured bacterium
Lineage: Bacteria
Description: partial 16S ribosomal RNA
Rfam family: Bacterial small subunit ribosomal RNA
Source: RNAcentral
GAUGAACGCUGGCGGCGUGCCUAAUACAUGCAAGUCGAGCGAACAGACGAGGAGCUUGCUCCUCUGACGUUAGCGGCGGACGGGUGAGUAACACGUGGAUAACCUACCUAUAAGACUGGGAUAACUUCGGGAAACCGGAGCUAAUACCGGAUAAUAUAUUGAACCGCAUGGUUCAAUAGUGAAAGACGGCUUUGCUGUCACUUAUAGAUGGAUCCGCGCCGCAUUAGCUAGUUGGUAAGGUAACGGCUUACCAAGGCAACGAUGCGUAGCCGACCUGAGAGGAUGAUCGGCCACACUGGAACUGAGACACGGUCCAGACUCCUACGGGAGGCAGCAGUAGGGAAUCUUCCGCAAUGGGCGAAAGCCUGACGGAGCAACGCCGCGUGAGUGAUGAAGGUCUUCGGAUCGUAAAACUCUGUUAUUAGGGAAGAACAAAUGUGUAAGUAACUAUGCACGUCUUGACGGUACCUAAUCAGAAAGCCACGGCUAACUACGUG